GUAUACAUAAAUGUAAGCUACUUAUACACCGUGCGAAUACACUGUAUGGGACCGGCACAUGCUUGUCAACAUUAAUAUCGAAAAUCUAAAUGAAUCUACCCCUAUACAUGUGUAUAUAAACGAUGUUGAACAAAGCAUGUUUUCUCAUUCUCGGGAUGUACCGGACCCUUUGGAAUUUAGCAGUCAUCUUAACUGGACAAACUGAUCAUUCUUGUGCGUCAGUCGUACUAUUAAUAGAUCGAUUGAGUCUUAAUUAUUUGUUUACGUUUUAUAUGGGAUUUCUGUCUGUCAGACCAGAGUUAUGGUCCUUGAUCAAGUCAAAAAUAUGUAUAAAGGACAUUAAAGUUUGUGUCACAUGUAUCUCAAAAAGUAUUAAACUUAAAGUCGUAACACAUUUGGGGAAUAUUAUAUAAUAUGUUAGCUGUUGGUGUUCCCUUUCGGAUUCCACUCAGCCAGACAAGAGUUAUUAUCCUUGACUUGUUUGAUAUUUGUCCUUGAUUUUUUUGUUAGUGGAGGUAGUGGUGGUGAUGGUUCCAGUAGCUAGCAACAUUCGUCAGCACAUCAGCAUCAAAUACAAUAUAACGCUUGAGGGCAAUUCUCGGAUAGAUUAUAAGGAUCUUACAUGCCUGCCUGUGUAAGACAGUCAGGUUUUUCCCUACCCGAGGGUAAAUGUGAAUGAAACACCGAGCGUUAGCGAGGUUUUAUAUCCAAGCUGUCCUGACGGUCGGCGAAGGCCGGGAAGAUAGCUGCCUUACACAGGCAGAUAUGUUGGAUCAUUUUAUCAUUUUUCAUGCCUAUCUUGUGAUGACGAAUAGAUUUGUGUAUUUCCAGGCAUUAUUUAUAUAGAUCUAGUUUAUGACAUCAUAAUAGUGCCAGUUCUAUGUGACUUCACCUGAGUGCACGCUAUUUUAGACAAGGUUUUUCCCUAGGGAAAUACAGGAAUAUCUAUCACCGGCGCGUGCUCGGACAAAUGUAUACUUUCCCCGCUAGGUAGGCAAGAAAAUGACUUUUCCAUGGGCCGUCAGAAAGUCAAUGAAUGCAUUCUAUAUCGCUUUGGUGUGAUUACCAUGCCUGAAUGCAACUCCCGUGUAGAUAAUGACUUUUCCAUAAUGUGACGUGCGUGAUGUAUAACCAUGCAUUUAGGGUCCGCCACCAAGUGCAAAAACGAAAUAUUAGAAACUAAAAUAGAUCUGAAAAAUAAUAAUUUAGUUGCGGGAGUUUGAUCAUGCAUUAUAGUAAAAGUAAUGACUGUUUUUCAUUAAUCAAUAUUGUAUCAUUGUAUCAUUAAGAUAAAAUAGCUAUUUUUAAUUACAUGUAUUAAUAUAAAGAAACUACUUUUAUUUAUAAGUAGAAUAACUAUAUUACUAGCAUUAAGGAGUGACCUGUCGCUUUUAUUAAUAGAUUUGAAAGGUUACUAGAAUAAACCACUUCAGUAAAGGGGUACCCUACCUUUUUGUAACUUAUUUUAUAAUAAAUAUUUAAAUGACUGCCGCUUCGACAAUUAGACGCCGUGGUGCCGUGGUGCCGCGGUAAGCGUGACGGCUCUUGAAUCUAACUUUUGUGAGUUCGAAUUCCAACGGUGAUCAAUAUUUUUUUUCUUUUUUAUUUUAAUUUAUUUAUUUUCAUUUUAUAUUUUGGUAACAUACAUUUAAAAUGAUAAUCAUGUUAAAGAUGUAUUUGAAUUGCAUUACUUGUAUCAUAAUGCUAGUUUUGCAUAAUAAGGUUUUUCAAAUAUUUUUUUGAUUGUGAAUUAUUCAACAUGGUUGACAUAGCUCUUGACAAUUUUGUCAUUCAAUUAGCUGAUGACACUGAUUUGGAGGAAACCGACGCCGUCAGCGAGUGUGAGGAUGCUCCAUUGGGCGCGUGUGUUUGAAAUGUUAUGAAUGUUUUGAAAGUGUAUGAAUGAAAUAAGAACUGAAAUUGAAAUGAUGAAAUAAAAUGAAAUUUAAAAAAAAUAUGCAAAAUAUAAAUAAAACAAAUUCAAUCAUAAAACAAUCGCCCUUUGUGGGAUUCGAACCCACAGCCUCUUAAUCGCAAAAAGUUAAAUCAUUAUCAAGAUGCUUCAAUUCUACCAAAUGAGCUAUCAACGCAAUUUCAAUCCGCCUAGUAUUCAAAAUAUAUUUACAGUUUUAAAUAAGUCAAAUAUCUUUCAAACCCUUAUUUAAUAAAUGGAACAGUCUGGAAAAUCCAAAUCUAAAAAUAAAAGCGACAGGUCACUCCUAAUUGCUAAUAAGUUUUGUUGUAACUAAAAAUAAACAAUGAUCUCAUUCUAAAAAUAGAUCGACGCAUGCACAUUAAGAACUAGUACAUUUACCACUGGAGUCAUUUUCUCGUGGUGGUUCGAGGAUGAACAUAUAUGAUGAGGACUUUCCUAGUUUAUUUUCCAGUUAGGAGAAUCUGCUUAUUUUAAACAUGUUCCUUUAUCUAAAAUAAAUUCUUUUUCUAUACAUGUAUAUUAUCUGAAGAAAGGCUUACUCUUAUUUCAUUUAUAAUAAUUAUGUUAUUAUGUAUAUAUUUAACUUUUAAAAGAACCACAAUGUUACAUUUAUGAUAUUAGGACUGACCCUCAAUGUCCGCGAACAACGGCCCGAGAUAGGGUAUUCGAGUCAGCUCCGUAUACUUCUGCGACAAUCUCAUUACCUAUAUUUAGAACGCAAGGCCGUUAUAAAGAUCAAUAUGUCAUCCUAACGAUCGUUUCUUUUUGUUACAUCGUGAAGUCAUUCUUUAAAUAAAAUGAUGAUGUCAUUCAAAAAAAAAAGAUACAAAAUGGCCGCCACGCAUUUGCUAUGUUGUUAUUCUCGGUCAUGCGCAGUCAUGAUGCCAAACCGCCUUAACUACUAUUGUUACAUACAAAAUUUUUCUACUGGACUUAAGAUUUUUAUGUACGAGCUACUAGAUGCACUGUUUGAGAAAAAUUGAGAAAAUACCCUUUUCCAAUAAUCCUUUCAUAUGAUAUUCUUUGUAGCACACUACAAUACAACAUCUGCUACAAAAAAUUCUAUAAACAUUUUAAAGAAAUCGGCAUUUUAUUUCAAAUUUGAUAUGCAUACAAAUAAUGUUUAAUUUUACAUUACAUUAUAUACUUGUAACACAAUGAUAGCUCGCAGGUCAGUUUUCAGUUAAUUCAUCAUUGUGUGUAUUUUAUCUAUUAUUGAUUUUGGUAGAUAAUCCUGAUAAUUCUUACAAAUGAUACGAAUUCUGUUUACAUGCGUAGGUCAUUGUUGGUAUUUACUACUCAAGCAAUUUUCGUAACAUCGGAGUGUUUUAUCCAUUACGUUUUGGCCUAAAUGACUUUGUUUACUAUUAUUACCGAUCAGAUAUUGCGAAAUUCUCAAAGAAAUUGAUUUGGUCAGCCUUAAUUACUUUAUUUUUGUUUUCGAUGGAAUUUUCAUUAAUUGGCCAGAAAUGUUAAUUACUUUGUUUACCUGUUCAGUAUAUUGUUGUUGUUUACAAUUUAUACAAAAUGAAUCACCGUUGAAUGUUUUAUCUAUUAGAUUUGACCCUAAUUAUUUUGUUUGUUUCGGUAACAGUCAUUUAUUUACGGAAAUACACAAUGGUGAUUGAUUCUACAUCUGUUGUUUACUAUUAUAUGAGUACUUAAUGGACGUUUUGAUUGACAUGUUUUUGAAAUUGCUUUGAAUAUUUUGAAAUACUUGUAAACAUGUUAUUGCGUUUUAAUUCGUGAAAAAGGUAUAAAUACUCAGAAUAUUAACAGAAGAGAGGAGAAUGGGGAGAGGAGGACUGAGUCAAGAAAAGAUAGGACUGAGUUAAGAAUCAGGAAGUUAGAAAUGUUUUACAAAAAUGGGAUCGGAUAAUUGGCAGUUCGGAUCGGUUCAGAUCAGCUCGGUUAAGUUCGAUUUUUUGGGCUCGGGUUUAAGAGCGGGUUAAAAAUAACUGUGGGAGUUUUAGAAUUGACUAUUAUGUCAUAGAACUUUUGGACUUAAGAAUAAAAAAUUAAUUAAAAGUUUGACGCGGGAAAAUACUAUUUAAAAAGCUGAUGUAUUUAUACCUGAAUUGAUUGUUAGUAUAGUUGACGUCUGUAUAACCUUGUAAAUAAAACCGAGUGUGAAAAAACUGCUGACUUUCUAAAUCUAUGCAACCAGUGGUGGUGUUACAUACUGUACUAUUUAAUUUACUAUGACUGAUAAGCUUAGUUAACAAACAACUAAUCUUUCUAUCUUCUUGACUGAUUGAAGACUGGUAUCGCUGUCAGUUUCGAAAGUAUGUGUGUUGUUGUCAUUGUGUACCUCGGAGGAGGUCAUCAAUGCAUUUGUCCAUUUACAGCAUAUGACAGAGAAAUCAUAGAAACAGCUGUUUGGCAAACAAUCACACACUAAACUCGACAACAAUUCUAGUUCCUAAAGGACUAUCAUAGCAUUUUAUGUUAAAGGUCACCACACGCUGUGUCAUUUUAUAACACUUUUCGCAUGCACGGAUACUAAACAGUGCAUGCGGUACCGCCUGCGCCGACGAGGAUUGAAGGCACUUCGCUUCCGGUACCACAGGCACUUCGCCAAUGUUUACAAAACAAGUGAGAUCGAUAUGAAAACACAUUAGAAAUACCAACAGUAAAAACAGUCAGGCCAACACUGUGUUUCAUAGCUAAAAGAUGCUUUCCUGUUGGACAACACCUAAUUCCUCCAUAGUCGCACUGGCGAUAUUUGAUAGAACAAAUCUGUAUAGUUAAUGUUUAUAAGGUACUGUGCGACAUUAUCUUGUUAAUAUCACACGGACGCAAUUGGAUACAAACAGUAUAAUUUUUAAAACCGCGCCAUUGUCGUUUACAUUCGAGUAUAUUUGAAACAUGUUUGAUGUAUUUUCUUUCGUGAUAAAGCAUGUUCCUUAUAUAUACAUACA
This is a long non-coding RNA of Mercenaria mercenaria, 4857 nucleotides long. RefSeq lists it as uncharacterized. Lineage: Eukaryota; Metazoa; Mollusca; Bivalvia; Venerida; Veneridae. The transcript has 3 exons. The record is from RefSeq and is a predicted model, not a curated record.